ACUGAGUUUAGAAAGUCUUCGACCAAAGCAAGUGUGAAUACUCCAAAGGAGUUUCCAUGGAUUCACAAGUAAACUCGAGUCAAGCGAAUCUAGCAUAUGACUGACGAUAGGGUCAGACGAGUUCUCUAUAACCUUCAUCAAAUCAAAACUCACGAUAGAAGAACUGAAUCAUAUGAUAACUGUAUCUAGAAAUUCACACUUUCAUUCUACUGAGUUGUCACUACAUAUCGCU
This 232-nucleotide long non-coding RNA is filed under the name Elaeis guineensis (African oil palm). RNAcentral describes it as "long non-coding RNA (EGUI_LNC033234)". The record is from RNAcentral. Lineage: Eukaryota; Viridiplantae; Streptophyta; Magnoliopsida; Arecales; Arecaceae.